AUUUCUACUAGAUAGUAAAAACUGAACAUUAAAUCUAAUUCGCAACGAGAGUUGGGUUUAGAAUUAAUUAAAUUAUAUUGUUUUUCAAAGAGUAUUUUAUUAGCGGGUGUGAGGACGAGAGUUAAGCACCACCUUUAUAAUUUAUAAUACUAUCUGAAUUGUAUUUUUAAAACAAUAUAGUUUCGAAAAUUUAAUUGCUUACACCACUAAAAUCUAGAAGUAAUGCAACUACUUUGUAAAGUAUUUUAUUAAUUUCAUGAUGAGAGUUGUGAGAGCUGGAAGUGAGAACGGCUUUCG
Molecule: long non-coding RNA, 297 nt
Filed under: Trifolium pratense (red clover)
Lineage: Eukaryota; Viridiplantae; Streptophyta; Magnoliopsida; Fabales; Fabaceae
Description: long non-coding RNA (TPRA_LNC011007)
Source: RNAcentral